CAGCAGCCGCGGGAAUACGUAGGUGGCAAGCGUUGUCCGGAAUUAUUGGGCGUAAAGGGCUCGCAGGCGGUUUCUUAAGUCUGAUGUGAAAGCCCCCGGCUCAACCGGGGAGGGUCAUUGGAAACUGGGAAACUUGAGUGCAGAAGAGGAGAGUGGAAUUCCACGUGUAGCGGUGAAAUGCGUAGAGAUGUGGAGGAACACCAGUGGCGAAGGCGACUCUCUGGUCUGUAACUGACGCUGAGGAGCGAAAGCGUGGGGAGCGAACAGGAUUAGAUACCGAGUAGUCCCUGUCUCUUAUACA
Molecule: ribosomal RNA, 301 nt
Filed under: uncultured bacterium
Lineage: Bacteria
Description: partial 16S ribosomal RNA
Rfam family: Bacterial small subunit ribosomal RNA
Source: RNAcentral